Molecule: long non-coding RNA, 779 nt
Organism: Phacochoerus africanus (Common warthog)
Lineage: Eukaryota; Metazoa; Chordata; Mammalia; Artiodactyla; Suidae
Exons: 6
Source: RefSeq, a predicted model, not a curated record
UAGCAGGCCUCUGUGCGCAUGCUCCGCCCGGGGGGCGCAGACCUCGCCCGUCCUUUCCGGAUUUCGGCUCGGCGUCCGCUCUGCUGCGGGUGCUAAGGUCCUAAGUCAUGGGUGUCGCCGUUCGAGUCAUCUAUUGUGGCGCUUGAGGCUACAAGUCCAAGUAUCUUCAACUCAAGAAGAAGUUAGAAGAUGAGUUCCCUGGACGCCUGGACAUCUGUGGCGAGGGGACUCCCCAGGUCACCGGGUUCUUCGAAGUAUUGGUAGCAGGGAAGUUGGUUCACUCCAAGAAGGGAGGUGAUGGCUACGUGGAUACGGAGAGCAAGUUUCUGAAGCUGGUGGCUGCCAUCAAAGCCGCUUUGGCUCAGGGCUAAUGUGCCCUGAAGACAGAGUCCAGUGACCUUGGCCCAGCUCCUCUCGGCAGACGCUUCAUGACAGGAAGGACUGAAAUGUCUUGUGGACGCCUGGUCCUUCCCUGAUGUUCUCACGGCUGCUGGGCGGGGCAGAGGGGACACCCUUGGUCUUUGCCUGUGUGUGUGGGAGUGUGUGUGUGUCCCCCAGGAAUCUUAACUUUGCACACUGGCUCCAUUCCUUCCUUCCUCCCCCCCCACCCCUGUCUCCCUGCAUUCCCCCAUGCCUCCCUUCCCCUCUUGGGUGUUUGGCGUGAUCCUGCUCCAGGCUUUCUUUUCAAGGAGGAGCCGAGGGAAGGAUCAGGAUGAGUGAAUCUCAGAUUUCAGCAGCGAUUGCACAAUUCAAUAAAUGCUGAUGAGGUUAAGAAAACA